GGGAGUGUAGUGUAGUGGCAACACGGGUGGCUCCAGACCACCAGCUGGGGGUUCGAUUCCUUCCACUCCCGCCA
RNAcentral lists this transfer RNA (74 nucleotides) under subsurface metagenome. Its description in RNAcentral is "tRNA-Trp". It matches the Rfam family "tRNA". From Rfam's summary of the family: Transfer RNA (tRNA) molecules are approximately 80 nucleotides in length. Their secondary structure includes four short double-helical elements and three loops (D, anti-codon, and T loops). Further hydrogen bonds mediate the characteristic L-shaped molecular structure. tRNAs have two regions of fundamental functional importance: the anti-codon, which is responsible for specific mRNA codon recognition, and the 3' end, to which the tRNAs corresponding amino acid is attached (by aminoacyl-tRNA synthetases). tRNAs cope with the degeneracy of the genetic code in two manners: having more than one tRNA (with a specific anti-codon) for a particular amino acid; and 'wobble' base-pairing, i.e. permitting non-standard base-pairing at the 3rd anti-codon position. The record is from RNAcentral.